This 557-nucleotide long non-coding RNA is filed under the name Ursus americanus (American black bear). RNAcentral describes it as "lncRNA (ENSUAMG00000026309.1)". Lineage: Eukaryota; Metazoa; Chordata; Mammalia; Carnivora; Ursidae. The record is from RNAcentral.
GAUUUUGCAACCUGUACUUGGCCUGCAGGUCCCCAGCUUGCCUCCUCUGCACUCGCCUGAACUCUUUGAGGCAUUUACCUCUUCCUUCCUGGGUCAAGAUUUAGUGCAUCGCCUUCCUCAAGGUCGUCGCUCAGGCAACAUUCUUAGGUGAUGCAAGAAUCAUUCUCAAUAGCAUGGAAACAAUUUCUUCUCUGCCACCAUGCAGGGUUCACAUCCCCCAUAAACGAAGUGUUUCCUUCCCUGCGUGUUGUGCUUACGUCAGCUGGGGACAAGCGUGUGAUGCUGCGUAUCGUCCUCCAUCCGCGCCGGCGUCGGCUGGUCAUCAAGGCUGCUGUUUCCUCCUCAUCCCAGCGGCAAGUCUCUCCAGGAAAUUGCACGGUGGCAUGGAGAGCGUGAUAUUUGUUGGAAGAGACCUGAACUAAAAGGCUCAUAAAUCUCUUAACAAGAACACUGGAAUUUGGAGUGAUAAUUUCCACUUAGCAAUUGGGUGUCGCAAAGAUGUUAAGUAUGACGUGUCAUCUAAUAAAAAAUUUUAAAAGUUUUUCUACCCGAUGAAC